AAAGACCUCGCGUUAUUGGAGCGGCCGAUAUCUGAUUAGCUAGUUGGUGGGGUAAAGGCUCACCAAGGCGACGAUCAGUAGCUGGUCUGAGAGGAUGAUCAGCCACACUGGAACUGAGACACGGUCCAGACUCCUACGGGAGGCAGCAGUGGGGAAUUUUGGACAAUGGGCGCAAGCCUGAUCCAGCCAUUCCGCGUGAGUGAAGAAGGCCUUCGGGUUGUAAAGCUCUUUCGCAAGGGAAGAAACGAUACGAGCGGAUAACUCGUGUUAAUGACGGUACCUUGAUAAGAAGCACCGGCUAACUACGUGCCAGCAGCCGCGGUAAUACGUAGGGUGCGAGCGUUAAUCGGAAUUACUGGGCGUAAAGCGUGCGCAGGCGGUUUUGUAAGUCAGAUGUGAAAUCCCCGGGCUCAACCUGGGAACU
RNAcentral lists this ribosomal RNA (424 nucleotides) under uncultured bacterium. RNAcentral's name for it is "bacterial SSU rRNA". It matches the Rfam family "Bacterial small subunit ribosomal RNA", at positions 202 to 622 of the family's 1533-position model. The record is from RNAcentral.